UCUCACUUCAACCGGGUUCUCUCCCUUAAUCUCCCUAAAGCUCCACUCUCUCAACCUCCACACUCUCUGCCUCUCCAUCAACCCAUUGUCUCUGCUUCUAGCAUACCCAACUCAGACCCAUCAGCAAAAACAAAGAAAAAACAUUAACUCACCAUUUGAGAUUUCGACCCCCAAAGACUCGUACCCUUUUUAGACCCAGAUCAGAGAGAGUAAGGGUUGGGGUUUGGAGAGAAUCGGGUGUAGAGAGAGAUGUUGAUGCUUUUCAGACCCAAAUCAAAGAAGGUAAGAGUUUGGGUUUGGAGAAAAUCGGGAAAGAAAGAAGUUGAUGCUUUUUCAGGUUUGAUUGAUGGAGGGAAAUGAGAUUGAGAGACAGAGAAAGAGAUUUUGGUCGAAGGAGAGAAGAAGCCACCAUCGGAGGUGGUGGUUGCGGUGAGCCAGCCUUGCCGAUUUGGUUCAGAGACUUGGGCUUGUUUCAGAGGAAGACCACCACCCGGUGCCAGAACUAAUUACUAGAUUUUACUUUUUAAUGGGAAAAGCUUCACAACUCUGAGGAUGCAGCCAUCACGUUUCCGUAUUUCUUGUGUGGCCAAACCAGAGACAAUGACAAAGGUGUGUGAAAUUGUGAAGAAGCAGCUAGCUCUACCUGAUGAUUCCGUAGUCACUGGAGAGUCAAAAUUUGCUGCCCUUAGAGUUGAUUCUCUCGACAUGGAUGACGUAGACGCCAAGCCUACAUAGAAGCCAAACCUAUAUGAAGAAGAAAUUAAAUUUUGAAUGGCAUGAUUAAAUGGAUGCUAUUCUUUGUUUGAUCACCGAAAGCGAGAAAAGGCGGCUGCUGAAGGGGGAUUAGUGCUAAAUUUCAGAUUGUUUUAUGAUGGUGUAGACCACAUGUUCUCACACUUGUACAAGUUUUACCAUUUUGAUGAAAUGUUGUAGAAAAAUAUAUGUUUUGGAUGUAUGUAGAAACUUCAACAUUUACCUUUAGUAGCCAUUUGGAUGAUUCAAAAAUUGUUUUGAAUGGAAGUAUUUUGCUUAGGCACUAUCUUAUUCAUUACACUUUGGCUUCAAUUUGCAUCCUUAUAGGAUUUGUGAAUGUAAUUUUUAGGUUCCAUGAAUGUGUAUAUUUUUAGGUUGUUUUUAAGUGAAAUAAUAGCCUUGUAAUCAAAGUGUACAUUUUAA
This is a long non-coding RNA of Quercus lobata, 1176 nucleotides long. RefSeq lists it as uncharacterized. The transcript has 5 exons. Lineage: Eukaryota; Viridiplantae; Streptophyta; Magnoliopsida; Fagales; Fagaceae. The record is from RefSeq and is a predicted model, not a curated record.